AGAACAAAUUGGAUACAGCUUUAUAAUAAAUAUGCUUUUGUCACCAUCAGCUAAAAUGCAGUAUGUUGGAGGUGAAGCUGUCAUAGCUCUAAGUAAGGACAGCAGGAUGCAUCAAAAUCAAAUAUGUGAAGGGAAUGGAAUUGCACCAUUGGUUCGCUUACUAAGAGUUAGUACGAUUGCUGAAGGCACACUUCUCAGUGUCAUCAGAGCAGUGGGAUCCAUUUGUAUUGGGAAUUUAAUAGCAAGCCUGGCUCAUUCUAGAGCUGGUAUCCCAGAAGCAUUUACCACAUUAGGAACAAUCCAACGGCUCUGCUAUCAUUUGUACUCGGGAAUAGAAGAGUCUGGAGAAGAAUGGAGGACCAUCCAUAAUUCCUAUCUUUUAAAAGAG
Molecule: small RNA, 388 nt
Filed under: Pan troglodytes (chimpanzee)
Lineage: Eukaryota; Metazoa; Chordata; Mammalia; Primates; Hominidae
Description: processed transcript
Source: RNAcentral